CGACGGAGGGUGCAAGCGUUACUCGGAAUUACUGGGCGUAAAGCGUACGUAGGCGGCUUGUCAAGUUGGAUGUGAAAUCCCACAGCUUAACUGUGGAACUGCGUCCAAAACUGGCAGGCUCGAGAACAUUAGGGGACAGUGGAACUCCAGGUGGAGCGGUGAAAUGCGUAGAGAUCUGGAGGAACACCGGUGGCGAAAGCGACUGUCUGGGCUGUUUCUGACGCUGAGGUACGAAAGCUAGGGGAGCGAACGGGAUUAGAUACCCCAGUAGUCC
This 274-nucleotide ribosomal RNA is filed under the name uncultured bacterium. Its description in RNAcentral is "partial 16S ribosomal RNA". It matches the Rfam family "Bacterial small subunit ribosomal RNA", at positions 523 to 796 of the family's 1533-position model. The record is from RNAcentral.